GGUUUUCUUUCCCUCUCCCACAUACAUUCGCGCAGAACAAACAUUAAACCCUAACUCUCCAAAUCUUGUCUUCCUUCUUCAAUGAAACCCUAACUCACUGAAUUCAAUCGUGUUAUUCCUUCUUCGUUGAAACCCUAACUCACUGAAUCUAAUCGUGUUCUACAAUUUCAUUCUUCUUCGUUCUGCAAUUUCGUUCUUUUUCAUUCUGCAAUUUCGGUUUGGUUCUUCGUUGAGCAGUAGAAGGUUGAUUUUGAAGGCGAUUAGAAGAAGAAAAGAUGAGGCCUGUUUUUCGGUGGGAAUUUGGAAUAUGAUACUCACGGUGAAAAGGUGAUGUAGAGCCCUGGUAUUGCUUUCGAAGAGAAUAUACAGGCUACUAUCCGGGAGCUUGAAGAAUAAGUGAAGCUUCUCAAGAAUCUUAAGCAUCCAAAUAUUGUUAGAUACUUAGGAACUGCUAGAGAGGAAGAUUCCUUAAAUAUUCUGCUUGAGUUUGUACCUGGUGGAUCUAUCUCAUCACUAUUGGGGAAAUUCGGAUCCUUUCCUGAGUCACUUGAAUGCUCAACUUGUUCGUCGCAGACUAAGACAUAUUGCGAUGAGGUUUUACCUUUGCCUAAUGUCCCAUUCUUCUGGAUUUUAUACCGCUCGUAUUCUCAUUGGAGGGCACUUCAGGUUAUAAGAGUGUAUACAAAGCAGCUUUUACUGGGGCUUGAAUAUCUUCAUAAUAACGGAAUUAUUCACAGGGAUAUUAAGGGUGCAAACAUUCUAGUUGAUAACAAAGGGUGUAUUAAACUCGCAAACUUUGGUGCAUCCAGGAAAGUCGUGGAAUUGGCUACCAUAGUACCAUGAAUGGAACAAAGUCUAUGAAUGGUAUCCCACACUUUGCUUCUGAAUAAGAUGAGGUCGAGGUUUCAGCUAUGGUAACCUCUGCUUGAAACUUGCUAAAACUAGUAUGGAAAAGGGUGCUGACUAUCCGAAGAACGAGAUUCAACGUCUUGAGGGCAUGCUUUGAAAUGUAAUUUAUUAAUAUUAUAAAUAUAGCCGUAACAACUCAUAUGAAUAUCAUAUUACGUAGUUUUUAAUUUUGCUUCCGACUUGCAAUAACUAACAUCAAACUGAUGAAGGGAAGAUACAACGGAAAUAACAUUGAUACAAUGGAAAUAUCAUAUUAUGUUUUGUUUUU
This is a long non-coding RNA of Trifolium pratense (red clover), 1177 nucleotides long. RefSeq lists it as uncharacterized. NCBI's taxonomy places the organism in Eukaryota, Viridiplantae, Streptophyta, Magnoliopsida, Fabales, Fabaceae. The transcript has 9 exons. The record is from RefSeq and is a predicted model, not a curated record.